Sinocyclocheilus grahami is the source of this 823-nucleotide long non-coding RNA. RefSeq lists it as uncharacterized. Lineage: Eukaryota; Metazoa; Chordata; Actinopteri; Cypriniformes; Cyprinidae. The transcript has 4 exons. The record is from RefSeq and is a predicted model, not a curated record.
CUCACGCGGCUCUGCAUGAACGCUCAAUGGCUGUUUAGAGUGAUAAUUACUCCCUCGGUCACCUUAAACAGCAUUAACAUGCUUUUCGACAGUUAAGGCCUGAAAACGUAAUCUACACAAGGACAUGAGACAGUUCAUAUUCAAUUCAUUUCUGGAUGGUGCACAACCCUGUCAGCUGCUUGUUGAGACGGUGCAAGUUGAAAGAACAUGAAAAAUUGUGAGGAACGUUGGGAACCAAACAACACUGGAGCCUAUUGACUUCCAUUGUAUGGACCAAAAAAAAAAAAAACACCCACUGAGAGCUCCUCCGUUUCUGUCUCAUUGACACACACAUCAAUAAACCCUUUCCCACAAAAUUCCAAACCACAUCAAUAUUAAACAGAUCUAGUGAGUUGGGUAAAUUAUGUAGAUUGUUUUGAAAGACAGGGAACAUUUUUCUCACAUCAGUGCUGGUUGAGCCGCUCCACCUGGGAGCGUUUUGAUGCGAAUGUGGAAGGGAACGCUUCCAUUAGCCACGUUCACAUUAUUGAACAGAGGCUUUUCAGAGACGAAUGAACUGCUGUUUGUACUGAGGAAAGGCUUUUGUUCCCGAGCUAUGCAGCGUCGCACCCCACAGUCAGAAACCCAGAUGAAGAAAUUGAAAAAGUCUUAUUUUACUAACCUAACACCUAUAGCUUGCAUCAACUUGAUAAAAGUAGCUUUAAAUAAAGCAACUUUUGUGAGCAAACUGUGUCUGGGGUUUAUCUCACAGGGUCUUAGCAAGAUAUUUUCUUCAACAAACCUCAAUUUUCUCGAACAUAUUUGUCUUUUAUGUUAUGUGUGA